UAGGUAUAUAUGCAGUUGCUGCUAUGUUUAUUGUACGUACAGGCGUUGGGGGUAUUAACCGAGGAAAAAGAAACGAUGCGAAAGAGGAACAAUGUUAUAUGUCAUGUAUUUAUAUAUUGUUUCAAUCGAAGAAAUAUGUACAAUAAAGUAAAAUAAAAUAUUGUAUCGCAAGAGAAAAUAAGAUGUUACUGCGAGCAACUAAUCC
RNAcentral lists this long non-coding RNA (205 nucleotides) under Mytilus galloprovincialis (Mediterranean mussel). Lineage: Eukaryota; Metazoa; Mollusca; Bivalvia; Mytilida; Mytilidae. The record is from RNAcentral.